Molecule: ribosomal RNA, 26 nt
Filed under: Descomyces sp. H0730
Lineage: Eukaryota; Fungi; Basidiomycota; Agaricomycetes; Agaricales; Bolbitiaceae
Description: partial 28S ribosomal RNA
Source: RNAcentral
CAGGUAGGACUACCCGCUGACCUAGA